RNAcentral lists this ribosomal RNA (557 nucleotides) under uncultured bacterium. Its description in RNAcentral is "bacterial SSU rRNA". It matches the Rfam family "Bacterial small subunit ribosomal RNA", at positions 8 to 545 of the family's 1533-position model. The record is from RNAcentral.
AGAGUUUUGAUCCUGGCUCAGAUUGAACGCUGGCGGCGUGCUUAACACAUGCAAGUCGAACGUGAAAGUCCUUCGGGGCGAGUAAAGUGGCGCACGGGUGAGUAACGCGUGGAUAAUCUACCCUUAAGAUGGGGAUAACGGCUGGAAACGGUCGCUAAUACCGAAUACGCUCCCGAUUUUAUCAUUGGGGGGAAAGAUGGCCUCUGCUUGCAAGCUAUCGCUUAAGGAUGAGUCCGCGUCCCAUUAGCUAGUUGGCGGGGUAACGGCCCACCAAGGCAACGAUGGGUAGCCGGUCUGAGAGGAUGACCGGCCACACUGGAACUGGAACACGGUCCAGACUCCUACGGGAGGCAGCAGUGGGGAAUAUUGCGCAAUGGGCGAAAGCCUGACGCAGCGACGCCGCGUGAGGGAUGAAGGUUCUCGGAUCGUAAACCUCUGUCAGGGGGGAAGAAACCCCCUCGUGUGAAUAAUGCGAGGGCUUGACGGUACCCCCAAAGGAAGCACCGGCUAACUCCGUGCCAGCAGCCGCGGUAAUACGGAGGGGUGCAAGCGUUAAU